GAUGAACGCUGACAGAAUGCUUAACACAUGCAAGUCUACUUGAAUUUGGGUUUUUUAACUUAGAUUUGGGUGGCGGACGGGUGAGUAACGCGUAAAGAACUUGCCUCACAGUUAGGGACAACAUUUGGAAACAAAUGCUAAUACCUGAUAUUAUGAAUAUAUGGCAUCAUAUAAUUAUGAAAGCUAUAAGCGCUGUGAGAGAGCUUUGCGUCCCAUUAGCUAGUUGGAGAGGUAACGGCUCACCAAGGCGAUGAUGGGUAGCCGGCCUGAGAGGGUGAACGGCCACAAGGGGACUGAGACACGGCCCUUACUCCUACGGGAGGCAGCAGUGGGGAAUAUUGGACAAUGGACCAAGAGUCUGAUCCAGCAAUUCUGUGUGCACGAUGACGUUUUUCGGAAUGUAAAGUGCUUUCAGUUGGGAAGAAAAAAAUGACGGUACCAACAGAAGAAGUGACGGCUAAAUACGUG
RNAcentral lists this ribosomal RNA (468 nucleotides) under uncultured bacterium. RNAcentral describes it as "partial 16S ribosomal RNA". It matches the Rfam family "Bacterial small subunit ribosomal RNA", at positions 28 to 507 of the family's 1533-position model. The record is from RNAcentral.